UACGUAGGCGGUUUGGUAAGUCAGGUGUGAAAUCCCGGAGCUCAACUCCGGAACUGCAUCCGAUACUGCUAGACUUGAGUAAUGGAGGGGCAGGUGGAAUUCUCGGUGUAGCAGUGAAAUGCGUGGAUAUCGAGAGGAAGACCAAUGGCGAAGGCAGCCUGCUGGACAUUUACUGACGCUGAGGUACGAAGGCCAGGGUAGCGAAAG
This 207-nucleotide ribosomal RNA is filed under the name uncultured bacterium. Its description in RNAcentral is "partial 16S ribosomal RNA". It matches the Rfam family "Bacterial small subunit ribosomal RNA", at positions 568 to 774 of the family's 1533-position model. The record is from RNAcentral.